GGCCGGCUAGCUCAGCUGGUUAGAGUGUGGUGCUAAUAUCGCCAAAGUCAUGGGUUCAAACCCCAUGCUGGCCA
This 74-nucleotide transfer RNA is filed under the name Chelydra serpentina (North American snapping turtle). RNAcentral describes it as "tRNA-Ile". It matches the Rfam family "tRNA". From Rfam's summary of the family: Transfer RNA (tRNA) molecules are approximately 80 nucleotides in length. Their secondary structure includes four short double-helical elements and three loops (D, anti-codon, and T loops). Lineage: Eukaryota; Metazoa; Chordata; Testudines; Chelydridae. The record is from RNAcentral.